RNAcentral lists this ribosomal RNA (590 nucleotides) under uncultured Basidiomycota. RNAcentral describes it as "eukaryotic LSU rRNA". The stretch from base 196 to 349 matches the Rfam family "5.8S ribosomal RNA". The record is from RNAcentral. Lineage: Eukaryota; Fungi; Basidiomycota.
CUUGGUCAUUUAGAGGAAGUAAAAGUCGUAACAAGGUUUCCGUAGGUGAACCUGCGGAAGGAUCAUUAACAAAUCAUUGAGCCUUGAGCUCAACAUUUACUCUGGGGUUUAGUAGGGUUCAGUCACUAUUAUUCCCCAUUGUACAUUUACGCUUGUAUUGUUUGACUGUAUCAAUGAAAUCUAUAAUAAAAAGACAACUUUUAACAAUGGAUCUCUUGGCUCUUGCAACGAUGAAGAACACAGUAAAGUGCGAUAUCUAGUGCGAUUUGCAUGAAUCUGUGAGUCAUCGAGUCUUUGAACGCAACUUGCGCCACUUGGGUAACCAAGUAGCAUGUCUGUUUGAGUAUCACAAACCCCUUUAUUCCAAGUUUGGAAUAGAUUUGAAGGCUUUAGAGAAUUUCUCUAAUCCUUUGAAAUAAAGUUUGUUGGUGAUUGAUUUGGUCACUACCAUGUGCUAAAGGCUUUAUGUCUUGUCAUGUUAAUGAUCAUAGUCAACCCAUUGCAAAGUCCUAACUUUGCAAAAUUACCUUUAAUGGUCCCAAAUCAGGCAAGACUACCCGCUGAACUUAAGCAUAUCAAUAAGCGGAGGA